UUUAUACUCCCUCCGUCUAACAAAAGAUGUCUCAAGUUUGUUAAUAUUUGGAUGUAUCUAUACAUGACUUAGUGUAUAGAUACAUUCAAAAAUUUAGUCAAAAUUGAGACAUCCUUUGUUGGACGGAGGAAGAACAAA
Brachypodium distachyon (stiff brome) is the source of this 138-nucleotide non-coding RNA. The record is from Rfam. NCBI's taxonomy places the organism in Eukaryota, Viridiplantae, Streptophyta, Magnoliopsida, Poales, Poaceae.